Leopardus geoffroyi (Geoffroy's cat) is the source of this 639-nucleotide long non-coding RNA. RefSeq lists it as uncharacterized. NCBI's taxonomy places the organism in Eukaryota, Metazoa, Chordata, Mammalia, Carnivora, Felidae. The transcript is spliced from 2 exons. The record is from RefSeq and is a predicted model, not a curated record.
ACAGACCCCACGCGGGGCUCGAACCCAUGAGACCAUGACCUGAGCCAAAGUCGGAGCCUUAACCGACUGAGCUCCCCAGGCGUCUCUCUCUUCCCCAGUAUUGUGAAGGCAGCCGUGGACACAAGGGCAACCUUUCCGCUCUGGGGUAUCGGCCCCCACCUGCUCAGGGACUCUGUCCAGCUCCGCGUGGAGGUGGGACCUGCCAGCCAGAAAGUCCUCCCCGACGCGCCCUCGCAGGAACAAUACUUAAAGCCCCCUGAUGGAGCACGGAGAGCCGGCUGUCGCAUCUGUCUCCCUGGGACACCGGGCUUAGUGAUCAGUGGGGGGAAUCUCAGCCCUCUGCUGGCUGCAGUCAGCUGAGGAGGCUUUCUGGAAGCUUAAGUCCUCAAGCAUGGCUGCCUCCGGGAGCUUCCCCCGCUGCCCUGAGCUGGACCCAAAGGGCCCUGCUUCUGUUUGCAUUCAUGCUACCAGAGCGGUCCGUGGGGGUGGGGGGAAGGGGGGUCCGCGACACAAAUGCCCACUCCCCACUUGGGUGGCCCAGGCCCACCAGCUGCCUUCACUUUUGGUAGCAUCAGCUAUUUUAAUGCAGAGUUAGGCACACAAUCCUUGCUAAAAAUAAAUACAAAGGAAAACCCCAAA